This is a non-coding RNA of Petromyzon marinus (sea lamprey), 1605 nucleotides long. The record is from RefSeq and is a predicted model, not a curated record. NCBI's taxonomy places the organism in Eukaryota, Metazoa, Chordata, Hyperoartia, Petromyzontiformes, Petromyzontidae.
CUCUCACUGUUCAAAUAAACCUACCAUUAAAAUUAUAGACUGAUCAUUUCUUUGUCAGUGGGCAAACGUACAAAAUCAGCAGGGGUUCAAAUACUUUUUUCCCUCACUGUAUAUAAUCGCUGUUUUUAGAGCUUUAUUGCGUGUGCAUACGAGAAGAAUUACAGAUUUCUCUAAACUCUUUCGCCAGGGUUAAAACAUUAACACCAAGUUAAUGUAAAACAUUAACACCAAGGUAAUGUAAACCAUUAACACCAAGGUAAUGUAAACCAUUAACACCAAAGUAAUGUAAACCAUUAACACCAAGGUAAUGUAAACCAUUAACACCAAGAUGAUGUAAACCAUUAACACCAAGGUAAUGUAAACCAUUAACACCAAGGUAAUGUAAACCAUUAACAUUAAGGUAAUGUAAACCAUUAACACCAAGGUAAUGUAAACCAUUAACACCAAGAUGAUGUAAACCAUUAACACCAAGGUGAUGUAAACCAUUAACACCAAAGUAAUGUCAACCAUUAACACUAAGGUGAUGUAAACCAUUAACACCAAGGUAAUAUUAACACCAAGGUAAUGUAAACCAUUAACACCAAGGUAAUAUAAACCAUUAACACCAAGAUAAUGUAAACCAUUAACACCAAGGUAAUAUAAACCAUUAACACUAAGGUAAUGUAAACCAUUAACACCAAGAUAAUGUAAACCAUUAACACCAAGGUAAUGUAAACCAUUAACACCAAGGUAAUGUAAACCAUUAACACCAAGGUAAUGUGAACCAUUAACACUAAGGUAAUGUAAACCAUUAACACCAAGGUAAUGUAAACCAUUAACACCAAGGUAAUGUAAACCAUUAACACUAAGGUGAUGUAAACCAUUAACACCAAGGUAAUGUAAACCAUUAACACUAAGGUAAUGUAAACCAUUAACACUAAGGUAAUAUAAACCAUUAAUACUAAGGUAAUGUAAACCAUUAACACUAAGGUAAUGUAAACCAUUAACACUAAGGUAAUGCAAACCAUUAACACUAAGGUAAUGCGAACCAUUAACACUAAGGUGAUGUAAACCAUUAACACUAAGGUAAUGUGAACCAAUAACACCAAGGUAAUGUAAACCAUUAACACCAAGGUAAUGUAAACCAUUAACACCAAGGUAAUGUAAACCAUUAACACCAAGGUAAUGUAAACCAUUAACACUAAAGUAAUGUAAACCAUUAACACCAAGGUAAUGUAAACCAUUAACAGCAAGAUAAUGUAAACCAUUAACCCCAAGGUAAUGUAAACCAUUAACCCCAAGGUAAUGUAAACCAUUAACACUAAGGUGAUAUAAACCAUUAACACCAAGGUAAUGUAAACCAUUAACACCAAGGUAAUGUAAACCAUUAACACCAAGGUAAUGUUAACCAUUAACCCCAAGGUAAUGUAAACCAUUAACCCCAAGGUAAUGUAAACCAUUAAUACCAAUGUAAUGUAAACCAUUAACACUAAGGUAAUGUAAACCAUUAACACCAAGGUAAUGUAAACCAUUAACACUAAGGUAAUGUAAACCAUUAACAUCAAGGUGAUGUAAACCAUUAACACUAAGGUAAUGUAAACCAUUAACACUAAGGUAAUGUAACCA